ACACUACUUGGGGCCCCUCUUCUUUCCAGCCCUUCUCCUGUGUGCCUGCCUCCUGCCGCCGCCACCAUGACCACCUCCAUCCGCCAGUUCACCUCCUCCAGCUCCAUCAAGGGCUCCUCUGGCCUGGGGGGCGGCUCGUCCCGCACCUCCUGCCAGCUGUCUGGCGGCCUGGGUGCCGGCUCCUGCAGGCCGGGAUCUGCUGGUGGCCUGGGCAGCGCCCUCGGGGGUAGCAGCUACUCCAGCUGCUACAGCUUUGGCUCUGGCGGUGGCUAUGGCAGCAGCAGCUUUGAGGGCGUUGAUGGGCUGCUGGUCGGAGGUGAGAAGGCCACCAUGCAGAACCUCAAUGACCGCCUGGCCUCCUACCUGGACAAGGUGCGUGCCCUGGAGGAGGCCGACACUGAGCUGGAGGUAAAGAUCCGUGACUGGUACCAGAGGCAGGCCCCGGGGCCCGCCCGUGACUACAGCCAGUACUACAGGAUAAUCGAGGAGCUGCAGAACAAGCCACCGUGGACAAUGCCAACAUCCUGCUACAUAUUGACAAUGCCCAUCUGGCUGCUGCUGACUUCCGCACCAAAGUCCUGGCAAAAUGAAGGCAGGUGAGCAGCCAGGACCUGGACCUG
RNAcentral lists this long non-coding RNA (620 nucleotides) under Homo sapiens (human). Its description in RNAcentral is "novel transcript". The record is from RNAcentral. Lineage: Eukaryota; Metazoa; Chordata; Mammalia; Primates; Hominidae.